CUGAACCAGCCAAGUAGCGUGAAGGAAGACUGCCCUCUGGGUUGUAAACUUCUUUAAUACGGGAAUAAAGUCAUCCACAUGUGGAUGUCUGUAUGUACCGUAUGAAUAAGGAUCGGCUAACUCCGUGCCAGCAGCCGCGGUAAUACGGAGGAUGCGAGCGUUAUCCGGAUUUAUUGGGUUUAAAGGGAGCGCAGACGGGAGAUUAAGUCAGUUGUGAAAGUUUGCGG
This 227-nucleotide ribosomal RNA is filed under the name uncultured Bacteroidaceae bacterium. RNAcentral's name for it is "partial 16S ribosomal RNA". It matches the Rfam family "Bacterial small subunit ribosomal RNA", at positions 383 to 607 of the family's 1533-position model. Lineage: Bacteria; Pseudomonadati; Bacteroidota; Bacteroidia; Bacteroidales; Bacteroidaceae. The record is from RNAcentral.